UGAUGGUUUACCUGGGUUAUUGAAUUUUUUCAAACUUUAUAAAGAUUAAAGUAUGACAUAUUUUAUGUUUUAGAAACUCACGGAGUAUUCUACUCACUCAUUUUUUUAUAUGGAUUUCAUAUUUACAGGAAACAAGAGAUAGAGUAGCACAACGGAAGAUAGGGUCCGUAUAAAAUGGACCAACAAAAAGAUUGGUUCAAAGUAACCAUGAGAUUUAGCCUUUUGAUUUAUCACAUCCACACCAUUAAACCUUACACUCUUCAUAUGUAAUCCCUUCCCCUCUCUUCACAUAUAAGAGACAGAAAUUGUGAAGACGGGAUCUUGCUUCUAUUGUGAUUAAGAUUGAAGAAGAUUUAUGAUUGUGAAAUAGGAAAGAUGCAGGUUUUCUGAAGGGAGAAUAAAGAUGAGAUAGUAAAACAAGAGAAUAUUAUAUGGUAUUAUCGAGAGUACAUCAUAAGAUUGUGAAGUCUACUUCAUCUAAUGUUUUUCACACAUUUGUCCAUCAUGGACCAAUACAUCUAAUGGUCCAUUCUAUAAGGUUUGAAGGAAUUUUGAAAACAUAAAAUUAUUUGAUUUAAAUGUCUUUAGUCUCUGCAAAUAUACUACUUUUUUAUUUUAGUCCAUGUAAGAUUUUUUUUUGGAUUUAGUCCUUGUAAAAUAAGAGACAAUCAGUUUUGAUCCCUAAAAAAAAGCUUGUAAAUUGCCAUGACAUGUGGGCCUAUAAAUAUACACCAACACCAUUUUUUAUGAUUUAUUAAAAAUUAAAAUAUUUUAUAUUAUUAAUUCUUAAAUUUAUUUAUUGAUCAUUUAAUAAUUAGUGUUACUUUAUAAAGAAAAUAUGAAUAAAAAUUAAAAGAAGGAUUUAAUGGUUUUUGGAAAAUUCUUCAUUCUUUUAAUGUUAAUUUGACAGUAGGGAUCAAAGUCGAUCUCGUCUUUGAUUAUGCAUGAAUUAAAUCCAAACAAAAAAUUUACAGGGUCUAAAAUCAAAAAGUAGUAUAUUUGCAGGGACUAAAUAUAUAUUUAAACCAAAUUAUUUUAACACAAGUAUUCAUCACUAUAUCAUUCUCUUAUACUAGGAAAGAGAGAUUGAGGAAUAAGUGGAGAAUAAGGGUUUUUUUUUCUUUCAUUGUUUGGCAUGAGAGAAUGAGAAGAAAGAAAAUUAUAGUUUUUUUCCAUCAUUUUACGUUCAACUUUGUGGUUAAUGACAUUUAACAUUGUUGUUAAUUAUGUUAAGGACCCUUCAAAUAUAGAAGCUUUGUUUGUUUAUUAUUUUGAAGAUUUCUUCAAUUCUAACAAUACUUGUAUGGUUAGAGAUAUCAUCCUUCAUCUUGUGGGUAAUUCUAUGAAUGCAAUGCUUACUAACUUGUCUAGUUUUGAGGAAAUUAAAGAUGUUGUUUUUGACAUGAAUUUAGAUAUUGCUUUAGGCCCUAAUGGUUUUGGUGCUUUUUUCCUUCAUGUUGCUUACUUUUAUUAUAUCUAAUAUCAUAUCUCCUCAUUAAAUGGGCGCUAUUCAAGGUAGAUAUAUUGGUGAUUGUAUUUGUCUUACUUUAGAAGCUAUUAAUAUGUUUUAGAGCAUAAAUUUUAAUGAAACUUAGCUCUCAAGAUUGAUAUACGAAAAGUCUUUAACAUUAUAGAUUGAACUUUACUUAUUAAAGUUUUGCAAGAUUGUGGUUUUAACAACAAGUUCUAUCAUUGGAUUAACAUUAUUCUCAAGUCUUCUAACUUUUCAUAUUAGUUAAUUGUAAAUUUGAUGGCUUAUAUUUUUUUUGUCAAAAACGGGGUAGGGCAAGGAAACAGUGUCUCUUUUGUAUUGCAUUGCUCGAGUGACUUUUAGCAGAGUUGUAUCUAAGUUGGUUGACUAGAGUUCCCUUUGUUUGAUAAAUGGUCCCAGAGACAUUUAGGUUCCUUCACAUGUUUUUGUAUGCUGAUGACUUGAUGAUUUUUUUGCAAGGUGUUCACUUAUGUAAACAUAAAAUACAAAGGGUGAGUUAUCCUAUGGAGCUACCUAGGAGGAGCUUCAAGAAUACUCUGAAAUAACUAAGGAAAAAGUACACUAUUAGAGAUAAAAUGAAUAUGCACAUUCUUCCUCCUAACUGUCUCUUUUUAUAGUCAUCUCUUCUUGACCUAAUGGGCCAUUCUUUGGACGUCCAAGCCUAUUAGGUUACAUCUUUGAGAUCCACACUACUUGCAUGUACGAGUACUUCAUCACAUGGAGUUGGUUGCUCCUUCUCCAUGCACCUUGUUCAUACAUAUCACGUGGAGUUGGAGCACACAUAGAUCAUGUCACUCGUCCGUCCCAGACGUGUGCCAAUGCAUAUAACAUUUUUUAAGAGGACCACAACUUUCACUUGGACAAUAACUUGGUGCCGAACAUACUUGUGUAGUUGAAAUGAGGGUGGAGCUCAACAUAACCUGAAUGGUGGAGCUGAGCUCAAUGGGGAAGCUGAGUUGGGUUGAGCUGAAUGGUAGAGAUGAGCUGGACUGAGCUGAAUGGUAGAGCUAGGCUAGGUUGAGCUGGAUGGUGGAGUUGAGCUAAAUGACUGAGCUAAGUUAGGCUGAGUUGGAUGGUGAAGCUGAGAUAAGUUGGAAUCAAUGGUAGAGUUGAGCUGGAUGGUGUAACUGAGCUAAAUAAUUGAGCUAAGUUAGGUUGAGUUGGAUGGUGAAGCUGAGCUAAGUUGGGCUAAAUGGUCAAGUUGAGCUAGAUUGGACCUGAAUGGUUGAGCUAAAAUUGGUUAUCGUGGAAUGGCAAGGGUCACAUGGUAUGAUCAUCUAUACCAGUCCACAGUCCACCAAAUAUUUGUUUCUUCUUGAUGUGGAUUUGAGUGCUUCCACGUGAGAUUGAAUAUCAAAUCAAGUGAUUUCAUCAAAUAAAAAAAAAAAAAAAAGAAACAAAGAUGAAUUAGGUUGAGAAGAUGAAGAAUGCACCACAUUCAAGGAUGAUUGAUAAGUCAAAUUAAACAUGAAUAAAACUAAAAACCAUUAUAAAAGUCUUGACUUGAAAUAUUCUUUGUUUUUUUCCUCCUAAUUAGCUCAUUUUAGGUCUUCAUCAUCACCUCAUUCUUAGAAGAAAUUUAACCUCAAAUUUAGUUUAAUCAUAAUCUUGAGGAAGAAAAAGACAAGUCAAAGACAUGAAGAACAAUGUUAACGCAACCACUAGGAUCAAAUGGAAAUUGUGAAAAAACACCAUAUGUGCCAAGUAGGUGAAACACAACUCCACUUUUUGCAUUUAACAAUUCAACAUAUUUAUUUUUAAUAUAAUGAGUUUUCAAGAUAGAGAUAAAAUUGUACCUCUUGAAUUUUUACAUUAAGUACCAAUGUUACAUUGCUUGCAUUGGAAUUGGUGAUAGACAAAAAGUUACUUUGUAUUUUCAAAGGCUACAAAGUAAGUUGAGUCUUAUGGACAUUCUUUUCAUCAUAAAUCAAGGAAGGUUCUUUUUGAAACAAGGUAAACCCUUCAAGUUGAGACAAAAUCUCAAAUUAAUGUUUUGAUAAUAAUUAAACAAAAGGUAAUUAAGACUUCUAAUUAUGAUUCUAAGAUUUUUGGUAUUUAACAUGUGUGUUUGAAUGUGUUAAUCAAAGAUAGGUACCAAGCAUUUCAAGAUAGAUCAUAUUAAAAAGAAGCAAGUUCAUUUAGAGAAACGAAGAACGUUCUUGACAAAAUUUUGUAAAAUGAAGAACAUUCUCCACAUUUCCAAAAUAACAAGAAUGAUCAGAUUCUUAAACGAAAGACUAGUUCCAUUAUUUACAAUCUGUUCCAGAAUUUCACUAGAAAUAUACAAAUAUCAUUUAAGUAUAAGAAUCACUCCAAAGAACAAAGGCAAAAGCCAUGCUUCAUUCUCCAAAAUGAGCAAGCAAUAAGUGCAAAAAUGACAGAUUGGACUGAACACCUCAGCUGUACUUUUUGAGCAACAUGCACACGUGAUACAAAGCAGGGAAUCACUUCAGAUAGCUGUCAAGCGAAGCUUAAAACUCAACACCCCUCAAAGCAGACACGAAGAUCGUUCUUGCUUUGCAAGAACAUUCCUCCUUUAAGGUUGAUCUUAUCCACUUACUAACACAUGACAAUUGGACCAUUCUCAACGACAAAAUGAGUUGUCAUAAGCCUUCUUAAAGUCUAUAAAAGAAGCCUCAAGAUGAAGGAUAUAUCAGAGCUUCAAGUGCAAAGCAAUACAUCACUCAUACAAUCAUAUUCAAAGUCUCUUAAGCUUCUCAAUCACUUCAAAGAUUUAGUUAUGUUCUUAACUUGAUAUCAGAAUCAUUUUUACUGAGUUCUAAAUUCUAGAGUCUAACCUCAAACAUGAGUUGAGCAUAUUCAAAUUCUACCAAUCUCUUUAUAUCAUCACUUUGUAACUUAAGAAUAUAUUGUUGAAAUAGUUUGAGUAAUUUGUAAAAAUCCUUUUAUGAUUAAAAGGUAAUGUGUAAAAAUCCUUUCUGAAGAUUGAAAGGUAACCUUUGGAAAUACUUUCUAGGUUGAAAGGUAAUACUUUGUAACAUAUCAAGAUAGAUCUGUAAAAGCUAUGUGAAAACCAAAAACGGUGUUGUUUUGAGCACUUAGUGAAAAAUCUCACAAUUGUGAGUACUGGACGUAACCCGUGUUUGGGUGAACCAGGAUACAUCUCUGUGUAAUAUUUCUUUCCUUAUCUCUAUUUACUUUUUAUCUUAUAAUCUUAUAUUAUAUAGAUACAUUAUAAUUUUGUGUUUUUCCUAAUCAAGAACGUUAUUCGUUUAUAACCAAGAUCAAUCUUGAGUUAGAUACUUUGAGUUUUUAACAGGAAUUUUAAAAAAGUGACAAUUACAAUUCAAACUCCCCUUCCUUGUAUUUGACAAUGUUACUUCACUUCAAACCAAUUAGGAGUAUCAUAUGAAUGUUUAAAAGAUUUGCAAAUAACAGAAAGAGUAAGGAUAGGUGUAGUAGUGCAAUUAUCAACUAAUUCCACAUGCAAACAUUUACGCUUCAAAGAAAAUUUCAAAAGGCUAACUUUAUUUUUAACACAAGAGUAAUUAUUCAAGUUAGCAAACAAAUAUUUCUUAAGAAUCACAAUACAUUCUUCAAAAAAUUUGUCAUGAAUCAAAUUUACUUUAGUAAGCACAAUAACACAUUUAUCAAGAAAGUCAUUCAAGUCUUGGCUCAUAACUCUCAAAUCAAGUUUAGAAGAAUAAUAUGAAUUAAACACUUGAUGCAUCAUGGUUUGAACUUUCAAAUGGGGCUUAUGAAAAUAACACAAGUUAGGCAUUUCAACAUGUAUAUUUGCAAACUUAUCAAGCAUAGGAGGAAGACAUUUAUCAAAUAAUGUAAGACAAACAGAAAUUAAAGUAUUUGAAGAAUUAAAGUUGCUGAGAUUCAAAUCAAGAUUUCUUUUGCAAGCUUCCUUUUAGGAAACCUUUGGCCAAUAACCUUUAACUUCAAUGGAUUGUGGGAAUUCCUCUUUUGGAGAUAUAUCUCUAAGCUUUUGAACAUAAGAAUCAACGAAGUUAGGUAAAUAGUUAAACUCAAUUUCUUGCUAUGUGCCUCUCAAAUUUUGUUCCACUUCAUCUUUCUUUUCUUUAGUUUUCACUUUCUUUCUCAAAGCAAACUUAUUUUUUCCUUUUCCACUUUCUUUUCUUUGAUUUUCUCUUUGCCUCUCAAGGCUAGUUUCUCUACUUUUCUUGCCUCUUUUGCAUAUCAAUUUUCAUAAAGAUAUUUCACAUACUCUAGAUCCAAUACAUAAUCUCUAAUAUAAUAAUGAUAUGAAUACUUCUCUCUCUUUUUUUUCUUUCUUUUUUUCUUGAUCCUCAUUUUUAUAUUUUACAUGUCUUUUCUCUUUUGCAUAUCUCAUAUCAUACCUCUCAAAAUUCCUAAGCCUCCUUACUUUUUCUCUAUUUCUCCUUUCAUACAUCCUUUUCUCCUCACCAUAAUCUCUAUAUCUUCUUUCUUUUUCUCCAUUUCUUCUAUUAUACAUCAUUUCCUCCUCACCAAAAUCUUUAUAUUAUCUAUCUUUUUUGCUAUUUUUCUUUUCAUACUAAAGUAAAAAUGUCAAUUAUAAGGAAUGAGGUUUGAAUUAUAAUUGUCCCUUUUCAAAAAUUCCUCUUAAAAACUAAAGUGUUUAACUCAAGAUUGAUCUUGGUUACAAAUGAAUAACGUUAUUGGUUAGUGGAAAGAAAACAACAAUAUUAACAUAUCAAUAUAAACACUGAUUAUAAGACAAAAAAUAAAUAAAGAUAAAAAAAUACAGAUCACACAAGGAUAUAUCCUGGUUCGCCCAACACGGGUUACAUCUAGUUCUCACAAUUGUGAGAUUUUUCACUAAGUGCUCAAAGAAUGAACGAUCUUGGUUUUCACAUAACUUUCACAUAUCAAUCUUGAUUUAUCACAAAGUUCUACCUUUCUACUUAGAAAUGAUUUCCACGGGUUACCUUACACUAUUUCAGAAAAUAUUUUAUAAGCUACCUUUUAAAUCAUUAAAGGAUUUUUACAAACUACUCAAGCUAUGUCAACAAUAUAACCUUGAGUUACAAAGUAAUAAUUUUUUAGAUUGUUAGAAUCUGAGUAUGCUUAGCUCGUGUUUGAGAAUAGAUUCUAGAUUUUAGAACUCAGUUAGUACUGAUUCUAAUAUCACACUAAGAACAUAACUGAAUGUUUGAGAAGCUCAAGAGGAUUCAAGUAUGAUUGAAUAAGUGAUGUUUUGCUUGACACUUAGAGCUCUGAUUUGUUCUUCAUCGUGAAGCUUUGUUUAUAGGCUUUAAUGGAGCUUAUGACAUCUCAUUUGGCCGUUGGAAAUAGUCCAGCUGUAAUGAGUAAGUGAAUGGAUAAGAUCAACCAUAAAGCAAGAACAUUCUUGCUGAAAACACGAAUGUUCUUGUGAACCAAGAAUGGACUUCGAAUUUGUCUUGAGAUGAGUUGAUUGAUGUUCGGAUCUCAACAGUUGUCCGAAGUGAUCCCAUACCUUGAAUCACGUGUGCAUGUCUGUUUGAAAGUACAACAGUAGUGUACUUUCCAGCCUGUCAGUUUUGUACUUGCACUUGAUUAACUUGGAGAAUGAUCUUGCUUUAUUUAUUUUGUGAAGCAAAAUGUUUUGCCUUCGAAUUCUGGAGUAAUUCUUGCUUAGAUUAAUCCUUGUAUAUUUCUGAUGAAGAUAUGAAAUGGAUUACAAUUCCUGGAUUUAAUCUUUUAUAUAGGAAUCUGAUCAAUCUUGUUAAUCUGCAGAUGUGGUCCACACCAUUAAACCUUACACUCUUCAUAUGUAAUCCCUUCCCCUCUCUUCACAUAUAAGAGACAGAAAUUGUGAAGACGGGAUCUUGCUUCUAUUGUGAUUAAGAUUGAAGAAGAUUUAUGAUUGUGAAAUAGGAAAGAUGCAGGUUUUCUGAAGGGAGAAUAAAGAUGAGAUAGUAAAACAAGAGAAUAUUAUAUGGUAUUAUCGAGAGUACAUCAUAAGAUUGUGAAGUCUACUUCAUCUAAUGUUUUUCACACAUUUGUCCAUCAUGGACCAAUACAUCUAAUGGUCCAUUCUAUAAGGUUUGAAGGAAUUUUGAAAACAUAAAAUUAUUUGAUUUAAAUGUCUUUAGUCUCU
RNAcentral lists this long non-coding RNA (7547 nucleotides) under Cicer arietinum (chickpea). Its description in RNAcentral is "long non-coding RNA (CARI_LNC003665)". The record is from RNAcentral. Lineage: Eukaryota; Viridiplantae; Streptophyta; Magnoliopsida; Fabales; Fabaceae.